GGGGUCGUAGCUCAGUUGGAAGAGCAGCUGCUGUGCAAGCAGUAGGUCGGAGGUUCGAUUCCUCUCGAUUCCACC
Molecule: transfer RNA, 75 nt
Filed under: Paenibacillus allorhizosphaerae
Lineage: Bacteria; Bacillati; Bacillota; Bacilli; Caryophanales; Paenibacillaceae
Description: Paenibacillus sp. JJ-447 tRNA-Ala
Rfam family: tRNA
About the family: Transfer RNA (tRNA) molecules are approximately 80 nucleotides in length.
Source: RNAcentral